Molecule: long non-coding RNA, 3923 nt
Filed under: Homo sapiens (human)
Lineage: Eukaryota; Metazoa; Chordata; Mammalia; Primates; Hominidae
Description: PREDICTED lncRNA (TCONS_00077045)
Source: RNAcentral
UCAAUACCUAAUUUAUUGAGAGUUUUUAGCAUGAAGGGUUGUUGAAUUUUGUCAAAGGCCUUUUCUGCAUCUAUUGAGAUAAUCAUGUGGUUUUUGUCUUUGGCUCUGUUUAUAUGCUGGAUUACAUUUAUUGAUUUGUGUAUAUUGAACCAGCCUUGCAUCCCAGGGAUGAAGCCCACUUGAUCAUGGUGGAUAAGCUUUUUGAUGUGCUCCUGGAUUCGGUUUGCCAGUAUUUUAUUGAGGAUUUUUGCAUCAAUGUUCAUCAAGGAUAUUGGUCUAAAAUUCUCUUUUUUGAUUGUGUCUCUGCCCGGCUUUGGUAUCAGGAUGAUGCUGGCCUCAUAAAAUGAGUUAGGGAGGAUUCACUCUUUUUCUGUUGAUUGGAAUAGUUUCAGAAGGAAUUGUACCAGUUCCUCCUUGUACCUCUGGUAGAAUUUGGCUGUGAAUCCAUCUGGUCCUGGACUCUUUUUGGUUGUUAAACUAUUAAUUAUUGCCACAAUUUCAGCUCCUUUUAUUGGUCUAUUCAGAGAUUCGACUUCUUCCUGGUUUAGUCUUGGGAGAGUGUAUGUGUCGAGGAAUUUAUCCAUUUCUUCUAGAUUUUCUAGUUUAUUUGCGUAGAAGUGUUUGUAGUAAUCUCUGAUGGUAGUUUGUAUUUCUGUGGGAUCGGUGGUGAUAUCCCCUUUAUCAUUUUUUAUGGCAUCUAUUUGUUUCUUCUAGAGAUGGGGUUUCACGCCAUGUUGCCCCAGGCUGGUCUUGAACUCUUGACCUCAAGUGAUUCACCUUCCUCAGCUGCCCAAAGUGCUGGAAUUACAGGCGUGAGCCACUGCACCCGGCCUAGGUUAUAUAUAUUCUUAUACACUGCUGUAUUCAUUUAACUAGGUUUAUGUGUGUGUGGGUGACAAGUGAUUUUAGUUUAGUUUUUAUUGCUUAGUGUAUUCUAGUUUGGUUUUGGUAUCAAAUGUAAGCUUGCCUCAUACAAUGAGUAAAGAGUGUUUCCUCUGUGUGAUUAUUUGAAGAGUUUAUAUGAAAUUGUCUUCUCUUUUUUUUUGGUAGAAUUUACCUGUAAAGUCAUCAGUACUGCACAUUUUGUUAAUAGAAAGGUUAACUACUGAUUUAAAUUCUUUGAUGUUUAUUGGUUUGAAUCAUUCAAUUUUUCUCUUGAGUCAGUUUUAAUAUUUUGUAUUUUUAUAGUAAUUUAUCCAUUUCAUUUACAUUUUCAAAUUUUCUCCUCUAAACUAUUAGUAAUACAUGACCAUAACAUCCUCUCAUUUUUCUUUUUGUGGGAGCCUGUCUCUCCAUCAAGCCAAGAAUCUCCUUUAAUGAUAUCUAGGACAGGUUGUUCCUCCUCGUCUGUCAGUGACCCAUCAGCCUGUUGAGUACUGGGGAAGCACAGUGCCUGUUACUGGCAAGUUUACUGCCUUCAUUCUUUCUAAUCUUGAUCUUUUAUGCUGAAGUGUUAGUUUAUCUAUUCUCAGAAGACAUUUGGACAAAAAUGCUAUUUUUAAUUUCAAAUGAAAAUUAUGUUGUUAGAAUUAGUCUCUGUAUAAAUCAGAGUCACAUUUUAAAUUUUCCUAGGACUUGGUUGGUUUUCUCAGCACACUCUCAGCUCCUGGCAGGUUUGCAUAGAGCAGGCAACAAUGGGAAAGUGCUCACAGAAAAUUUUGCAUCUAUAAGUGGAUAGGGAGGUGAUGGAAUAGGGCAUAUGUGGGAAGAUACAGGAAAAGGAAAACUGUUCUUACUCCUUACCCGCCCCCCCCAUAGGAGAUGGUGCUGUACAGCGGGAAAGAGAAUUGGAUUAUAGUUUUCUGCUCCCUAAUUGUAACUUUCUUUUUCAUUUAUUUCAGGAAGUUAUAUAUACAAUGGUGUAAAAUUGAAAAGUUAUUAAAAACUAUACAGAGAAAAAACUUCAUUUUCACGCCUGACCUCUACUUCCCUUACUGGAGUAACGACUCCAUUUUAUUGUUUUCUUCCGGAGAUAUUCUAUCUAUAUAAGCAUAGUGGUAUAUUGCUUAAAAAUACACAAAUAACACUGCCUGUGUGAUUUUAGGAAAAUCUCUUGAACUUCAUUAUUAACUUCUUUAAAUUCCUAGAUGAAAAUACUUACACAAACCUGGAAAAACUCAGUGAUUUUGUAGAAAUCAAUCAAGUAGUGUUUGUGAACAUGUUUGGAAAAUCAUCAGUUAUUUUAUAAGUUUGAGAUGGAGGGAGGGUAGUCAUGAAAGUUUUACUUUUCUACACAAAAGACAAUGAGUCACAUGGGAUCUGACUUGACAAGAGUGAUUCUGAAUUGGCAGCCUGGCUGUGUGUCAGCAGCCCCCUGGCUAAUUCCUCUCAUAGUGUGUUGGGGUUUUCUUCAUGGCUAAUGAGGAGAUCUAUUCGCUUGAGAUAGGAAGUGGAAGCUUGCCAGAGUGUGAGACACCUCACUUUCCUCCCUCCCUCCUUCCCUUUGCCCUUCCUCACGUUUAGGGAGUUAGUAUUGGAACUUUGGCUGAUGCAACAGUUUGAGUCACUGUCUCUCUGUGCUGUGGGAUCCACUCACUUUUAAUGGGGAGUUGAUGGAAUCACUCCUCCCUCCCCCACCCUGACUUCCUCCUCUAAUUGGCUCUCAGGGGACUCCAACUCCUGCUAAUCAACCAUGGCAGAGCUGCUGCAGAGAGCCCGAAACUGGCACUCAGGGACCUAGGUUCUGUUGUGACUCUGCUCCUUCAACUUUCUUUUCUAAUCUGUUAAAACAACUUUGCCUUUGGAUUAGGCCUGGGAGAAUGGGGUUCCUUUGGGCAUUGCCUUUGCAGAGACAGUUUUAAUAAUGCCAGCAUCUUCUAGACUUUGCCAACUAUUGUGUUCAGCUUGAAUCUUUUUAUUCAUGGUGGCAGAGAGGGGAAAAGAUUAGGUAUCUGUUUCAUGUGUCCACAGUGGGGGAGGCAAAUGAUAGGAGAAAAGAGAAGAUGAAAGAGCAUAUCAUUUGAGGAAUGUGAGCCUCAACAUAUUGGUCCACAUACUGCUUCUCUAUUAGCAAAAGGCCUUGUGGAAAACUUACCUUGUCUGCUUCUGUUUGUCACUGCCCAGAGGAAAGUAAACCUAGUUGUGCAGCUUUGGCCAAUAUUAUUAUUGGGUUACAUUUAAAAAAGUUAUUUUAAAAAUAGGCUUUGUCUUUUAAAGCAGUUUCAGGUUCACAGCAAUAUUGAAUAGAAAGUACAGAGGGUUUCUAUAUACCUCUUCACCAACCUUAUGCCCAACCUUCCCCAUUAUCAAUGUCCCAUCCCAGAGUGGUACACUUCCUAUAAUUCAUGAGCCUACAUUGACACAUCCUUAUCACUCCAAGUCCAUGGUUUAUAUUGGAGUUCACUCUUAGUGUUGUACAUUUUAUGGGUUUUGACAAAUGUAUACUGACAUGUAUUUAUUAAACUAUCAUACAGAAUCGUUUCAUUGCUGUACAAUCCUAUGUGUUCUACCUGUGUGUCCUUAUCUCCCCUCCUCCCUCACCCCUGGAAACCACUAUCUUUUUUCAUUUUUUAAUUAAAAAUUUUUUUUUCUUAUGCCUCCCAGGGCUUCCUUGCUAGAAACCACUAUCUUUUUACUGUUUCUAUACUUUUGCCUUUUUCAGAAUGUCAUAAAAUUGGAAUCAGAGUAUGUACCUUUUCAGGUUGACUCCUUACUCCAUGGAUUACCUUUCAAAAUGGACAUUUAAAAAUAAUUUUAGAAUGAUACUAAAGCUACAAUAGAGGCUUGUUUAUAUAUAUAUAAUCACCAGUGAUGAGAAGUUUUCUUUGCAAUGUACAUGGUAGCAAGUGGUAGAAGGAUCUGAUCCAGUGUACAACAUUUCAUUUAGAUGUCAUGUCUCUCCAUCCGAGUCUGUGAAAGUUUCUGUCUUUUCUUGUUUUUUUUAUGACCUUGACAGUCCAGAGGAGUAUUGUGUAGAAUGAUCC